UGCAGUCGAACGAAUCCCCGGGGGCAACUCCGGGGGGAAGUGGCGAAAGGGGCAGUAAGGCAUGGGUAACCUACCCCGGGGACUGGGAUAGCUAUUCUAACGAGUAGGUAAUACCGGGCGAGGUAACCCGAAGGCAUCUUCGGGUUACGAGAUGAAUUUCGCCUUGGGAGGGGCUCAUGUAGUAUUAGCUAGUUGGUAGGGUAACGGCCUACCAAGGCUGAGAUGCUUAGCGGGUGUGAGAGCACGACCCGCGCCACUGGCACUGAGACACUGGCCGGACUCCUACGGGAGGCUGCAGUCGAGGAUCUUCGGCAAUGGGCGCAAGCCUGACCGAGCGACGCCGCGUGUGCGAUGAAGGCCUUCGGGUUGUAAAGACUUUAGUGGGGAGGAAGGCGCAAGCUUGACCUAUCCCAAGAAUAAGCACGGGCUAAGUUCGUGCCAGCAGCCGCGGUAAGACGAACCGUGCGAACGUUGUUCGGAAUCACUGGGCUUAAAGGGCGCGUAGGCGGUCUGCCAAGUCAGGGGUGAAAGCCUCCAGCUUAACUGGAGAAGUGCCUUUGAUACUGGCGGACUCGAGGGAGGUAGGGGUAGUGGGAACUUCCGGUGGAGCGGUGAAAUGCGUUGAUAUCGGAAGGAACGCCGGUGGCGAAAGCGCACUACUGGACCUCUGCUGACGCUGAGGCGCGAAAGCCAGGGGAGCAAACGGGAUUAGAUACCCCGGUAGUCCUGGCCCUAAACGAUGGGUACUAGGUAGUGGACUAACAUGGGUUCACUGCCGAAGCAAAAGUGAUAAGUACCCCGCCUGGGGAGUAUGGUCGCAAGGCUGAAACUCAAAGAUUGACGGGGGCUCACACAAGCGGUGACAUGUGGCUUAUCAGGCUACGCGA
Molecule: ribosomal RNA, 887 nt
Filed under: uncultured Planctomycetota bacterium
Lineage: Bacteria; Pseudomonadati; Planctomycetota
Description: bacterial SSU rRNA
Rfam family: Bacterial small subunit ribosomal RNA
Source: RNAcentral